This 253-nucleotide ribosomal RNA is filed under the name uncultured bacterium. RNAcentral describes it as "partial 16S ribosomal RNA". It matches the Rfam family "Bacterial small subunit ribosomal RNA", at positions 524 to 776 of the family's 1533-position model. The record is from RNAcentral.
UACAGAGGGGGCAAGCGUUGUUCGGAAUUACUGGGCGUAAAGGGCUCGUAGGCGGCCAACUAAGUCACACGUGAAAUCCCCAGGCUUAACCUGGGAACUGCGUGUGAUACUGGAUGGCUUGAAUUCGGGAGAGGGAUGCAGAAUUCCAGGUGUAGCGGUGAAAUGCGUAGAUAUCGGGAGGAACACCUAUGGCGAAGGCAGCUCGCUGGGACGUUACUGACGCUGAGACGCGAAAGCGUGGGGAGCAAACAGG